AGCGAACGCUGGCGGCAGGCUUAACACAUGCAAGUCGAGCGGGCGUAGCAAUACGUCAGCGGCAGACGGGUGAGUAACGCGUGGGAACAUACCUUUUGGUUCGGAACAACACAGGGAAACUUGUGCUAAUACCGGAUAAGCCCUUACGGGAAAGAUUAUCGCCGAAGAUGCCGCGUCUGAUUAGCUAGUUGGUGAGGUAACGGCUCACCAAGGCGACGAUCAGUAGCUGGUCUGAGAGGAUGAUCAGCCACAUUGGGACUGAGACACGGCCCAAACUCCUACGGGAGGCAGCAGUGGGGAAUAUUGCGCAAUGGGCGAAAGCCUGACGCAGCGACGCCGC
Molecule: ribosomal RNA, 340 nt
Filed under: uncultured bacterium
Lineage: Bacteria
Description: bacterial SSU rRNA
Rfam family: Bacterial small subunit ribosomal RNA
Source: RNAcentral